UGGUCGGGAGGGCACCGGUGGGACGGUGCUCACGAAUAGACCGAAACGUAUCGUCUCGUAUGGGCGAGGUGCCGUGGCCCGACGGUGUCCUCG
Regulatory RNA element from Roseobacter denitrificans OCh 114, 93 nucleotides. It matches the Rfam family "Rhodo-rpoB RNA". NCBI's taxonomy places the organism in Bacteria, Pseudomonadati, Pseudomonadota, Alphaproteobacteria, Rhodobacterales, Roseobacteraceae. The record is from Rfam.